GCCACUCCUACAAACGUCUACGACCGCACCUACAUAGUUUUGCAUGUUUACAAUUCUAAUUUUGAACAGCCAAUCAGGUUAUUGGUAAUUGGCUGUUUAAAAUUAUAAUUGUAAACAUGCGAAAAUAUGUAGGCGCGAUCGUAGACGUUUGUGGGAGUGGU
This is a non-coding RNA of Paramuricea clavata, 161 nucleotides long. The record is from the annotation of a GenBank genome assembly. Lineage: Eukaryota; Metazoa; Cnidaria; Anthozoa; Malacalcyonacea; Plexauridae.